AGCAUUCAAAAGAAGUUGGGUAGCUUGGCAAAGUGGAAGUUCUGCUUCCACAGUGGGAGCAGAGGGUGAAGAAAGUGGUCGUGGUUUAUGAAAAAUUGUCCUCAAAGUGUCCACUUUAAUGAGGGAGUCUGGAUGUAUCAAGAAACCAAACACAGAACGUGCAUCAGGACUGAGAACCAGUAAUGCUCAGCUUGAAUCCUUCAUUCCCAAAUCUGUCUCCCCAGGGACAGCUCAGGGAGCUGGGAAAACAAGGGUUGUGGUAAGUUCACAUCAGCUCCCCUCUACCUCUUUUCCUCCUCGUGCUUGUUCCCUGCUCCAGUGCGGGCCCUUCCCAG
RNAcentral lists this long non-coding RNA (335 nucleotides) under Anas zonorhyncha (Eastern spot-billed duck). RNAcentral's name for it is "lncRNA (ENSAZOG00000000003.1)". Lineage: Eukaryota; Metazoa; Chordata; Aves; Anseriformes; Anatidae. The record is from RNAcentral.